GAAGAAAAGAAAGACAGAAAGUGUUUGUCUUUCUCUUUUUUGUCUCGUGAGGGAGACAAGGCAAAAGGUAAAGACACACUAGGGAAAUUAAACUUGUAAUAUUAUACCUCUACAAUAAAAAUAAAUUAAUAGAAAACUUUUCUCUAAAAUCUCAGCAAAAUUGAAGAAGAAAGGAAAGAGAGAAAAGAUACAAGAAGGUCAAACAAAGUUGUGGUUUGGAUCGAUGGAAGAGAGAAGAAGCUUGUGAGGUUUAUAAAGCUGACAUAUAUAUAUUUAAAAAAGAACAGAAUAAGUCUCAAAGAAAAUCCAAACCAGUUGAGUUAUGAAAAGUAUAAGAUAUAGAGAGAGGUGUUAUAUGGUUUGUUUUGCACGUGAGAUUAUAGACCGGUCUAAAAAC
This 397-nucleotide long non-coding RNA is filed under the name Brassica napus (rape). RNAcentral describes it as "long non-coding RNA (BNAP_LNC006230)". The record is from RNAcentral. Lineage: Eukaryota; Viridiplantae; Streptophyta; Magnoliopsida; Brassicales; Brassicaceae.